CCUACGGGUGGCUGCAGUCGAGAAUCAUUCACAAUGGGGGAAACCCUGAUGGUGCGACGCCGCGUGGGGGAAUGAAGGUCUUCGGAUUGUAAACCCCUGUCAUGUGGGAGCAAAUUAAAAAGAUAGUACCACAAGAGGAAGAGACGGCUAACUCUGUGCCAGCAGCCGCGGUAAUACAGAGGUCUCAAGCGUUGUUCGGCAUCACUGGGCGUAAAGCGUGCGUAGGCUGUUUCGUAAGUCGUGUGGGAAAGGCGCGGGCUCAACCCGCGGACGGCACCUGAUACUGCGAGACUAGAGUAAUGGAGGAGGGAAGCGGAAUUCUCGGUGUAGCAGUGAAAUGCGUAGAUAUCGAGAGGAACAC
Molecule: ribosomal RNA, 361 nt
Filed under: uncultured bacterium
Lineage: Bacteria
Description: partial 16S ribosomal RNA
Rfam family: Bacterial small subunit ribosomal RNA
Source: RNAcentral